AGAGGGCGGAGGGAGGGAGAGGCGGAGAGGGGGGGGUCUGCAGAGGGAACGGAGCGGGAUGAGGAGCUCCUCCUCCUCCUUUCUCCUCGUUCUUCCCGCCCACAGAGUGGGAGGAAGGUGGCGAAGGGCCGAACUCCGAGUGGGGACUAUUUUCUCCAGCGGAAGGAUCCCAGAGUCUCUCACGCGGAGGGAGCGAUGCGUCCACGUAGUUCCGGCGGAGGCGUUUGGCGCCAACUAUAAAAGGGCGACGGAGGCGGAGAUGUUUCUGUGAGGGGUGGGCUGCCCUUGGUGGUGUGUGUCUCCGUUGUGGGCAUCUCUGUGUCCAUAAGGGUUCGGUUUUUCUGCCUGCUGGAGGUGCCCUGUGUGCUGUUCUCCGUUAACUGCCCCCGGAGCCCGGGGAGGCCUCGUUGAGUUUUUACACGGUCUGAUAGCGAUAGGGUGAGAGGGAAUGGCCUUAAAGUAAGGAGAGAGUGAGGUGAGGUGUUAAGAAGAAAUGCUUUCCCUGGGGGAGGGAGCAGUGCCUGGAGCUGUGGGUGCCCCAUCCCUGGUCAUCUCCAACACAACCAUUGUGUGGUUCUCAUUUAUCCCUUUUAACCCAAUCUGUCCUAAAGUAUGGUAACACCAGGCAAAAAAAUGACUAAGGAAGACAGAUGAUGAGGCCCAGAGCUGUUACCAGACCUCAGCACUGGGGUCACAAAUGCAGGGUGUUGCUCUAUAAUGAUUUUUUCUUUUACCACUAAACUAUCUUGCUGUUGGCCACAGCGAUGCUUCCGUGUGUCCCUGUCCUGUCUCCUCCACCCCCACCCAACCCUUCCUCAUCUGUUACAUGCUCAUGUCAGUUCCUCUCUGCGUUUCCAGGUGAAGCAAGGUGUUGUUUAUGUAUUUUUAACCUGAAAUAAUCAUUUAAAAUUGAAGUGAGCACAGGAUCUGAAUCCUGGAGGGGAUCUGGGAAUGCGUUUGGCUUUGGGGGGGGGAUAAAAAGUGUUACAGAGCAAAGUGUUCCAAUGGGAACGAACCCACAGAGCUGCUCUAGUGGGAACAGACAAAGCCCAAAGUCUGGGAGGGAAUGGUGGUAAUCCAUCAGGUUACAGAUCUAGAUCUCCCACCCUUAAACCCUCCAGGUAACAGCACGGGGCGGGAGGUCACAGCCUUUGUGAAGGUUCUUUGUGUUUUCCCCAUUGUUCCCAACCCGUGAGAAGAAAGAUGAUGUUAUGUAGAGCUGAAGGAAUAGAGGCUGAGCAGCGCCUGGCAUCCAGAAGCGCCCUGGAUGCCCCUGCACCGAGCUGCCACACGGGAGAGGAUCAAACCCUGAUGCAACGCUCACACGGGAGGACAUUCAGCCUUUAUUAACGGUUGUGAAAGGCAGCACAGGAAAGCAGCAGUGACAGACUGCCAGGUACAGCAACUGCGUACAGUCUGGGGCUUUGGCAGAAACCAGGACACUUGGAAAUACUGAAGGAAAAAACCAAACCCGAAAUAGACUUCUGUGGGGGUGGUGGGCAAAUACAGCGGGUAGAGGCCAAAAACAUCGGUUUGUGGAGGAAAACGGGGUGAUACCUGUACUUUUAACUUGUUUUUCUUUCUCUCAGGCAGGGUUAAGACAGAACUGCGUGUCGGUCCGAUGCUGGCGCUCCGGCGGAUGGACGCGCCGUGGGUGCUGUCAGGACCAGAGCACCAAGGAGUAAAGCCGGGCCGAGGAGGAAGCGGGUGGAUGCCAUCCCCCUGAGGACAGCCCGGCUCCGCUCACCCCGCUGCGUUCCCAGGAGGAAUGAAGGAGGUGAGGCGAUGCCGGAGCCCACUGCCCCCCAGCAGCAGGGCCGGGGUGAGCGCAGGCUUCGUUAGCAGUGCCCGGGGGCUUUAAAAAAAAAAAAAAAAAA
Molecule: long non-coding RNA, 1877 nt
Organism: Numida meleagris (helmeted guineafowl)
Lineage: Eukaryota; Metazoa; Chordata; Aves; Galliformes; Numididae
Exons: 2
Source: RefSeq, a predicted model, not a curated record